RNAcentral lists this ribosomal RNA (491 nucleotides) under uncultured bacterium. RNAcentral describes it as "partial 16S ribosomal RNA". It matches the Rfam family "Bacterial small subunit ribosomal RNA", at positions 29 to 507 of the family's 1533-position model. The record is from RNAcentral.
AGUGAACGCUGGCGGUAGGCCUAACACAUGCAAGUCGAACGGCAGCACAGUAAGAGCUUGCUCUUACGGGUGGCGAGUGGCGGACGGGUGAGGAAUACAUCGGAAUCUACUUUUUCGUGGGGGAUAACGUAGGGAAACUUACGCUAAUACCGCAUACGACCUACGGGUGAAAGCAGGGAUCUUCGGACCUUGCGCGAUUGAAUGAGCCGAUGUCGGAUUAGCUAGUUGGCGGGGUAAAGGCCCACCAAGGCGACGAUCCGUAGCUGGUCUGAGAGGAUGAUCAGCCACACUGGAACUGAGACACGGUCCAGAAUCCUACGGGAGGCAGCAGUGGGGAAUAUUGGACAAUGGGCGCAAGCCUGAUCCAGCCAUACCGCGUGAGUGAAGAAGGCCUUCGGGUUGUAAAGCCCUUUUGUUGGGAAAGAAAAGCAGCAGGUUAAUACCCCGCUGUUCUGACGGUACCCAAAGAAUAAGCACCGGCUAACUUCGUG